GGGGUUAUGGCUCAGUGGUAGAGCGCGUGCCUGGCAUGCGUGAGGCACUGGGUUCAAUCCCCGGCACCA
This is a non-coding RNA of Ictidomys tridecemlineatus (thirteen-lined ground squirrel), 69 nucleotides long. Lineage: Eukaryota; Metazoa; Chordata; Mammalia; Rodentia; Sciuridae. The record is from Rfam.